GCUAGGCAUAGUGGUGCAUGCCUGUAAUCCCAGCAGCUCUGGAGGCUGAGACAGGAGGAUCAUGAGUUCAAAGCCAGCCUCAGCAAAGGUGAGGCGCUAAGCAACUCAGUGAGACCCUGUCUCUA
This 125-nucleotide small RNA is filed under the name Marmota monax (woodchuck). The record is from RNAcentral. Lineage: Eukaryota; Metazoa; Chordata; Mammalia; Rodentia; Sciuridae.